AUUGCACGCUGGCGGCAGGCUUAACACAUGCAAGUCGAGCGAGCGGCGGACGGGUGUAUAAUGUCUGGGAACCUGCCUGACGGCGGGGGAUAACUACUGGAAACGUUCGCUAAUACCGCAUACCAUCAGAUGUGCCCAGAUGGGAUUGGCUAGUAGGUGGGGUAAUGGCUCACCUAGGGGACGAUCCCUAGCUGGUCUGAGAGGAUGACCCGCCACACUGGAACUGAGACACGGUCCAGACUCCUACGGGAGGCAGCAGUGGGGAAUAUUGGACAAUGGGCGCAAGCCUGAUGCAGCCAUGCCGCGUGUGUGAAGAAGGCCUUCGGGUUGUAAAGCACUUUCAGCGAGGAGGCGUUACUCGCAGAAGAAGCACCGGCUAACUCCGGGCCAGCAGCCGCGGUAAUAC
This 406-nucleotide ribosomal RNA is filed under the name uncultured bacterium. RNAcentral describes it as "partial 16S ribosomal RNA". It matches the Rfam family "Bacterial small subunit ribosomal RNA", at positions 30 to 526 of the family's 1533-position model. The record is from RNAcentral.